This 683-nucleotide ribosomal RNA is filed under the name uncultured bacterium. RNAcentral describes it as "bacterial SSU rRNA". It matches the Rfam family "Bacterial small subunit ribosomal RNA", at positions 94 to 792 of the family's 1533-position model. The record is from RNAcentral.
AGUGGCGGACUGGUGAGUAACACCUGUGGCAACCUGCCUAUCAGAGGGGAACAACAGUUAGAAAUGACUGCUAAUACCGCAUAUGCCUUAGUAACACAUGUUACAAAAGGGAAAGAAGCAAUUCGCUGAUAGAUGGGCUUGCGUCUGAUUAGAUAGUUGGUGGGGUAACGGCCUACCAAGUCGACGAUCAGUAGCCGACCUGAGAGGGUGACCGGCCACAUUGGGACUGAGACACGGCCCAGACUCCUACGGGAGGCAGCAGUGGGGAAUAUUGCACAAUGGGGGAAACCCUGAUGCAGCGACGCCGCGUGAGCGAUGAAGUAUUUCGGUAUGUAAAGCUCUAUCAGCAGGGAAGAAAAUGACGGUACCUGACUAAGAAGCCCCGGCUAACUACGUGCCAGCAGCCGCGGUAAUACGUAGGGGGCAAGCGUUAUCCGGAUUUACUGGGUGUAAAGGGAGCGUAGACGGCUGUGCAAGCCAGAUGUGAAAGCCCGGGGCUCAACCCCGGGACUGCAUUUGGAACUGUGUGGCUGGAGUGUCGGGAGAGGCAGGCGGAAUUCCUAGUGUAGCGGUGAAAUGCGUAGAUAUUAGGAGGAACACCAGUGGCGAAGGCGGCCUGCUGGACNAUGACUGACGUUGAGGCUCGAAAGCGUGGGGAGCAAACAGGAUUAAAUACCCUGGUA